This 66-nucleotide transfer RNA is filed under the name Hydatigera parva. Its description in RNAcentral is "tRNA-Asn". Lineage: Eukaryota; Metazoa; Platyhelminthes; Cestoda; Cyclophyllidea; Taeniidae. The record is from RNAcentral.
GUCUAUGUAGAUUAUAAAAAUCGUGAUGCUGUUAACUUCAAGAAAUGGAUUUAUCCGUUGUAGUCG